Molecule: ribosomal RNA, 755 nt
Filed under: Salmonella enterica subsp. enterica serovar Saphra
Lineage: Bacteria; Pseudomonadati; Pseudomonadota; Gammaproteobacteria; Enterobacterales; Enterobacteriaceae
Description: partial 23S ribosomal RNA
Rfam family: Bacterial large subunit ribosomal RNA
Source: RNAcentral
CGCGGCAAGACGGAAAGACCCCGUGAACCUUUACUAUAGCUUGACACUGAACAUUGAGCCUUGAUGUGUAGGAUAGGUGGGAGGCUUUGAAGUGUGGACGCCAGUCUGCAUGGAGCCGACCUUGAAAUACCACCCUUUAAUGUUUGAUGUUCUAACGUGGACCCGUAAUCCGGGUUGCGGACAGUGUCUGGUGGGUAGUUUGACUGGGGCGGUCUCCUCCUAAAGAGUAACGGAGGAGCACGAAGGUUGGCUAAUCCUGGUCGGACAUCAGGAGGUUAGUGCAAUGGCAUAAGCCAGCUUGACUGCGAGCGUGACGGCGCGAGCAGGUGCGAAAGCAGGUCAUAGUGAUCCGGUGGUUCUGAAUGGAAGGGCCAUCGCUCAACGGAUAAAAGGUACUCCGGGGAUAACAGGCUGAUACCGCCCAAGAGUUCAUAUCGACGGCGGUGUUUGGCACCUCGAUGUCGGCUCAUCACAUCCUGGGGCUGAAGUAGGUCCCAAGGGUAUGGCUGUUCGCCAUUUAAAGUGGUACGCGAGCUGGGUUUAGAACGUCGUGAGACAGUUCGGUCCCUAUCUGCCGUGGGCGCUGGAGAACUGAGGGGGGCUGCUCCUAGUACGAGAGGACCGGAGUGGACGCAUCACUGGUGUUCGGGUUGUCAUGCCAAUGGCACUGCCCGGUAGCUAAAUGCGGAAGAGAUAAGUGCUGAAAGCAUCUAAGCACGAAACUUGCCCCGAGAUGAGUUCUCCCUGAGACUUAA